CGUCUUCUCUCUGCCCCUGUCGCUGCGCUUCUCCUCUGUCGUCGGCGUUCAACAACACGCGUGCGCGCCACACAUAGCCGCUUAAUACGGCUUCCACCACCACAGCAGCCCACGCAUCGUUAGCAUCCGCGGUGGUGGCAAGGCGCCUGCGCGUGCCCCCCCCCCCCCCCCCCCCCGGCUUCCAAGCAGACAUCUGUGCAUAGGUGUACGCGCGCACUGACACACGUGUGCGGGAGAGUAUGUGUUCAAUCUGUCCACGUGCAGAUGCUCUGACUCCAAGUCCUUCUUGCUUCCAUUCCUUCGUACCAUUACAAGCUCUCAUCGAAACCUCAAGCCCCGGGCCACCUGCAAGCACGGCCCUCAUCGCGCCGGAUAGAUACAAACACACAUACAGGCAACCUUCUACAGCAUUCGCACACCGCCCGACUUCAGCGCGGCGCUUUCUUCUGCCUUUCUCUGUUGUGCUUUCUGCGCUUAGUGGUCUGAGCACUGCCGCAGCAGCGACUAUCCUGCGACCACUCAAGAGUCCGCCUCAGUGUCCAUUGCUUGCGCGUGGACUUUGGUCUGUGCACGUGUGUCGUGCUCUGAUUGCCUCCUCGUCCCAGUCUAGAUUCUUCUGCCGUCGACCGCGUGAAACAGCUAGCGUACAUCUGCACACAUACAUACCUAUACAUCUCUCUCUCUACAUGUAUGUAUAUAUGUGUGUGCAUUUAUAGAUAUAUAUAUAUAUAUAUCUGCGUACAUAUCUAUAUGUGUGUGUGUGUAGAUAUAUUCGUGCGUUGACGCCUUGCUCCCACUUGUAUAAUAGCUUGUGGCCCUCCUCCUUUUCCCUGCCUCUCCGUCACUCUCUGUGUGUGGCUGCCGGCGCCCUGACGCAGAUGUACCGAAGGGAGAGCAGCGAGCGACUGUGCGGCACCGCCUUCGACUCCCACGCAGCAUCCCCUUAUCAUACAGAUACAUCGUUGCCACACCACGUGUACAGCGAAACUGGGGAGUCGCACGAAAGCCGCGGCCAAGGCCAAGGGCGCUGCGAAGAAGAGGUCAGUAUUCAGCGCGGAGAAGAGGAAGACACAUCCCGGCUUGCAUCCACGCAGAGCUACGGAGAGGGCUCCUCCAUGAGCGCCGCGACUUUUGCGCGUUCCGGCGGCGCCGCACCCGCGAGCGCGCAGGUGGAGGGGUCUGUGUACACCCCGCAUCGCACCUCGCCACAUGUGUCCGUUGCGCUGCCUUCCUCUGUUGGCUCCUCCAUCCGCUUGCCAGCAUCGCCGGCGGGCUGCCUGAGACCCUCUUCAUCAAUCGCGGGGGACGCUGCUUCUAAUCCAACGGCGGCGGCGGCGGGAGGUGGGCGCGCUACGACUUCUCACCCUCUGCCUGUUGUACUAGACGUGAAAGUCAUAGAGACAGACGUGGUUGACCCUCCGUUCCCGAGCGAGAUUCAGUGCCGCAUUUGCGGGCUGUCCGUUCUUCGAAGCGACUGGGAGGCGCAUCAGGCCACAACGCUGCAUCAGCGGCGACUGCGCGAGUGUGCUACCGCAUGCGGCAGCUGCAGCAGCUCCUCGUCUCGCCCGCUGACAGUGGUGGUGCAAGGUAGCAGCACAAGCCAGCCGGCGGCCGCCGCGGGCUUCAGGGGUUUGCGGGGACCAGUGACUUCUAGGGACGCGCAGAAGGCUUCAUCCUCAGUGACACCUUCUGCGCGUGCGCUGGCACUGAGUAGGGAGAACCCCCAAGAACGCAGCCAAGCCGCCGCAGCGGUGGAGAGGCGGCCAUCUUGUCGCCCAUAUCCAUCUCGUCGCGAGCUGGACUCAGCCAGCUCCGACACUGCCUCGCCCAUGUACAGUACUAGCAGCAGCUCCACGAGCAGCAGCAGCAGCAGUCGUACAAGGAGUAUUAGCAGUGUUAGCGCGGGCAGCACCUGUAGCAGAAGUGCAGAGUCGGAAGGCAGCGCCGCACGCGGCCAUUCUAACGUCAGCGCUGUCCCCCACGCCACCACUCCUCGACCAACUAGGCAACUUCCCACCCCCGCUGCGCCCAGCAGUCCCACGCCGUCUUUCGUGCUACCGCCUGUCUCUCCUCCGCGCUUCUCCGCGGCAUCGUCUGCGUCCGCUGCCGCGUGCCCCGCUUCCCUGCUGGUGAAGACGCGUGGGUCAGACGAAGCGGCAGCCGCCGUGCGCUGCGUGGAGUUCCCGGAGGAGGAGCAAGAGCGGCGGCGCGUCAGAAAGCUAGAGAAACAGCUGAGCUCAUGCCUCUCUCGUCACGAGCACAAGGUGCUGGCAGCGUGCAUGCGACGGUGGUAUGAGGCGAUGUUCACCAAGGCAACCGCGCCUAUUACCGACUCAGAUCGGCCAAAGCGAGGGGGUGGCACAGUAGUCGUGGCCGGUGCUCCCUGCUCACCGGGGGGCUGCACUGGGACAUCGCUGUCCCCGGAAACGGUCAGAGCCCACCGCAUCGCGGUCAACUCUCCAUCGCCGCCGCCGGUCUCGGAAAUGGCGCUUGACAACGUCGAUUCCGCGCCAUACGAGCAGGGCGUGUCGUCUGCCCCACUCAACUCCACGAGUCCGGCAGUCUCGGCAGCCGCGACCGGUGCGGCGUUCCGGAGUCACGACCAGGACAAUCGCUCGCGCGACGUAGCGGAGGAAAGAGCCGAUGAGGGCGAUGGAGGAUCCCUCGCCCGGCGCAGCAACACCCAGCAGCCAGCGUCACCGAGCGGUUCCAUGCCGCACUGCGGUGAGGACAUGCAGAUGAACCGUCUAGCAGCUGUCGGUGUGAAGUGCGCUGCUUCUCGAGUUGUAGACGCGAACCCGAUACACACUGAGCACGCCGGCGUGCUGAUGACCCGUGGAGAGGCCGUGUCCCCACCUACGCCGUUUUUCACAACCUGCGUCAAGUCCUACGCGCGCGUUCAUGUCACUGCGGACGGCUAUGUCUCUCCAGCGGAAGCUCGCCGUGGCUCGAGGGGUGGCAGCGCAGAGAGCGAGGCGCAAGAUUUGGAGGUGAUGCAGACGAAGGUGAGCUGGGUGGUCCGGCCGGCGAGUCGACCGUCCGCAGCGCGCCGUUCCAGCUCCGAUUCCUCGGAUAGCACCUCUGCCCGAAGAGACUGGAGGGGCGCUGUUGGUUGCAGCGGUGCCGCAGUAGAUGCUGCGGCUGCAGCUGCUGCUGCGCGCGGGAGCACAUGUGAUCCCUCGCAGCCUCCUGCUAACUCGCCAGGCGUAGAGGCCGCGUGGGGGCAAGCGAGGGGCAAGGGUGCGGGGCGGCACGGCGGUAGCCGAGCUCAGCUUCACCACGCCGCAAAGGGUGAGCGCGGCACUGUGUCUGGUGGGCGGCCCCAUCUGCUGCAACCGCAUUUGGCAGCUCCUAGCAACGUUGCUGGAUACGGCAGGUAUGCAGACGAUGACGGGGGCGUGGGUGCGCAUGCCGUCGGCGAUGCAGCGGCGUCGGAGGAGCCGCCCGCGCCGAGGCGCCGUCGGCACCGCAAGAAGCACCACCACAGCGGCAAGACCAAAGCGGAGGAGUGGAGGUCUAUGUCAAGGAAGAAACGCCGCGGUGACAGUGGCGACGAGAGAGCCGAGGCCGACUGCGCGUCACGGCGCACUCAGACACCAUAUGAGGAGGAAGCCCAUGCCAGUGCCGUGCACCAGCCUCCGCACUCGGCGGAUGCCUCAGCGACGGAGACGACCAGUGCUGUGAGCGCCAUACUUUACCCAGGAGACAAGGGCGGCGGCUGCGACAGCGUGGAGCGGACCGGCGAGGAGCGACACCGCCGCAAGGGUACGGGUGACAGGAGGGAGGGGAGGAGGGAGUCUGGCCGGCCCUAUUCAAGUGGCUCUGCUGCUAAGGCUGCGACCCCCAUCCCAUCUGGCGAGGCGGACACGAGCACCGUGGAGGACGAAGGGGCGUUGCGCGAGCCGUCACCGCUGGCCUCCGAGGCUGCGGGAAGAAGGCACGCAGUUUCGGCGCGGCUGGCGGUGCCACAAUGCAAUCGAUCGAGCACGCUGGAUGAAGCAUCGCCGAGGCAGUCAUCGCACGCACCACCACCAAAAGCAGCGGCGUCAAAGAGAGAUCCGUUUAGCCACGCUGGGGCCCUGAAAGGCGACCACGCUACAGCUGCCUCGCCAUCCUCCUCGAUCGCGCUCACAGGUGCGUCGGGAGAGCGCUCCUCCUCGCUUUCGUCGUCAUCGUUCUCAUCGCCGUCGUCCCUCAGUUACAGCAUCGGUAGUGACAGCGACAUGGCCGAGCUUGUUGCUCGCCUCUCGCCCAGCACCCAACAGCGUGCAUGGCAGCUGCUCCGUCCGGGGAGCGCGGCGUCGCUGCUUGCCCACUCCGUCGAUGUGCCAAAGGCGCCAGCGUGCGUGUCAGACACGCAGCAACACCAUGAGCUCGACCUGGCAGCAACGAUCAUGUCUGCAACGCAGACGCUGACCAACGCCUUCAUUGCAGGGCAGGGCAACCCAGCAGCUCAGACAGAGGAGGAAGAGCAGGUCCGGCUCGGGCACCUGCCCGCUUUUCCACUCUCUGCUUUGGCAUCUCUGACGCCACAGGAUGUGCGCAGCCGCGGCGCGGCGACGGCAACGAUGCCCAUGGCCGAUAUUCUGUCCGGCGUCUUGACCGGGGUGCCAGGCGGAGACAGUGGUCACGCGGCUGCCUCAGAGACCGGCGAGCAGAGCGCCGCACAUGGUUCCAAUCAUCAUCUCUAUCGUAGUCACCCACGUGGUGCGAAUGCGGCCGUGCGGCUUCCCAAGACGCUGCUGGCGUUGCACGUGAUGAGCGCUGGCGCGGCGAGCAGUUCAGUCGUGGCUCCACCUGUGGAUAAGCUCGACGGGCGUGUCUCCGAUUGUGACGGCGAUGCCGCGCAGCCGCCACGGGAGCCGUCGGUGCCCUUUGUUGUGAAUCAGGCAAGUGCUGAGGUAGGGCUGCUGCUGCCAUCGUCGUCUGGCCACCCAUACGAUCUUGGCGGCCCAAUGUGCUGCGGCAGCGGCAGGGGCGGACGCGGGUGUGCCGGCCCUCAUCCCUUCCUUGGCGCGGCGCUCGUUGGGAGAGAGAGCGGUGAUGACAACGAGGAGAUCAGUGUGGCCGGGCUGCCGUCUACAGAGCGCUACGAUGACGUGUACCUUGCCUACGCACACGGGGCGGCAACGUCGUCAACGCACGGCGUAGACGAGGGGCGUGCGCAGCAAAGCAGCGGCGCUCCAGAAGAGCACGCAGCGGUGGGGCAGAGCGGCAACGCUGACGAUGUUCUGUCUCCAUCCUCGAUGCCGCCAACUGGGCUGGGCAUUCUUCAAGUGUCUCGGCGACCCUCUCGUGCCUUGUCCACUGCCGUGAACGAACGCGUCACAGGUGCCCCCGUAGGUGCGUCCUCGGCAGUGCAGCUUCCUCCGUCAUCCUUUUCCACGCAUGCGCUAGUUGAAUCAGGCGUUGCGCAAUCGCCUGACGAGGGACUUAGCCUGCACGCAGUGGAGGUGGCGCAGCGACAUAGUGCCACUGCUAAUGCCGCCGCAGGGCCUGCACGCGACUUGCACGAUGUGCACAACGAAGGAGCCGCAGCAGAGAGGAGGAGUAUGCUUGCGCCUGCUGGUGCUGUGGCUGCUGUCGCCGACGAGGGACGGCGACUGGUAGGUGGCGUUGCACCAACAGCUGUCUAUACAUCACAUGCUGAAGCGGAACGGGCACCGAGCUCGCUCUCAUCCGCUACAGGUAGUGAGCCGACGGCGACGCGAACCGGCGCCGGAGCACUGGUGCCUUUUCGCAUCACCCGUCCACUCCACAAGGCCGUCUCUGACGGCCCUGGCGCGGUGCUGCCGAGUACAAACCGGCUUCUCGCAGCGUCUUCUUUCGCGUUCUCUCGUGGUGGGAUGCGAGCCGCGAACCCGGCAGAUGCCAUAGUGCCAAGCUCAGCGCCAGCGCAGCUGCACCUCGAUCGUUUACGGGGACCGAUGUGGAACAUGGACCAGGCAUCGGAGAGGCGACUUCUUUCGCUUGACCAGCACACCGACACCGUCACCCCCACCACGAGCGCGGCCAUCGAGAGUGGCGGUGAUGCAUCUUCGUGGCCUCUGCGCCCUGCAGAUGGCAGGCACGUUGGGAAGACCGCUAGUGAUACCCCUCACCGUGGUCUUCACCCCACGACGGCUUCUGAGGCGGCAGGCUUCAGCGCAGUCUGGCGCGACGCUGCGGGAGCAUCCGGCACCGCGCUUGUGCGCAUGACCGAGCCGCUGAAUACGCCGCCGUACACUACCGUUGUGCCUUGCUCGAGGGCGGAUGGCGCAGGUGGGUUUCUCUAUGACUUACCCUCUCUGAAGAUUCCAGUGCUGCGCGCCAGAGGUGACCGAGACGGCUUCGACGAAGGCCUGUCUCGGCGCGCUCGCGACCGGCAGCUGAGAGGUACACAUCUGUCGAGGGGGGCCACCGCUCAAGCCGCAGUGGUGACGGGUUCUGGUAAUGUGCCGCUGUUAAUGCCGUAUGCUCUGCUGCCUGCAGCCGAAUGCAUCGAAUCCUCUCCCGAAACCCUCGCGCAGCCUCAGCAGUCGACGAUGGACAACCAUCCUCCCCGCCCGUCUCGGUUGCCGCGUCUGCGGGACGUAGAAGCUUGUAUUUGCAACCUUGCUGGCGACGCCGUCACCCGCAGCCCCACACAGCAUCCCGAGGCAGCCGAGGCGAGCGCACUCUCAGGCGCGCUGGCGCCAGCUUCAGCCGGCACUGCGCACACGGUGAGCUACUUGCCACACGGCGUGAUGCCUACGACACACCCGUAUUGCUAUGCGACCCUCAAGGGAGCUGCUGAUGGUGAGCCCGGCACCAAGCGCGACGAUCGCAUUGCUGAGAGCGAGUCAGUUGUGACGGCCCUGCGAUCGACCUUAGCGGCGCGCACGUCUUUGGGCGCGGGCCUGGAGGACAGCGCGCUGAACCACGCAUCCGCCUCUUCCACUGCAGUGACACCAUUGGUCGAAGCGGCAGAAGCAGGGCUUGGUGCAGCACGCGAUGCCUCUCCGCUGUCCUCGUCGCCGUCCUCGUGCUCGCACGCGAGUCCUGCAGGAGUGCACCCGAACAGACGCCCGUCUCAUCAUCGCCGCCAUUGUGAUGGGUCGGCUGCGUCUCAGGAGAAGAGGAGCGACGAACGAAGGGAGCAUAGAAGGUUGAGGCAGGGAAGCCGCCGCGAUGGCGAUGUCUCAUUGGGACAUCACCGGCAACACCGUCACCAUCGGAGCGGCCGCCGACGCGAGGAAGACAGCAACGACGAAACGCACCGCUGGAAACACCGACGCCAUCAUCGCGCGCAUGCGCAGCACCGCGUGCCGCGACACGGUCGUGAGAGGCCGCAGGCAGAGGACACCGGCGCAACGGCCGCACAACAAGCGCACCUUCCUCUGCUAUAUGCACUCGAGGCGGCCCCGCAGCAGGGCCACGCGGGUGCAGACUGCCGUGACGUGCUGUACGUUGUGCAAGAGGCUGGCAAGCGGCCGCCGUCCGGAGCUCACCCGUCGCACCCAUACCGGGUUGCACUCCCGUCUGCACCAGUGGUGCCGAGCACCUUUGGGCACGAGGCGCUUACGAGAGGCAAAGACCAUUGUGGGCAACCAGCGGCUCCUUGCAGCGUCGACAUGGCACGUGCGGCGAGGCAGCACCGUUCUCAUCGCUGUGGCAGCAGCAGCACACCACACAUCAGAGAUGGCGCAAGCGAUGAGAACGCCGCGCUGAGCAGGCAUCCGCAUCGGCGACCCGGCGAGCGCGAGCGCGCCCGGGGCCACCGACACUGCUGUCGCCGAAUGCCAAGCGCCUCAGUCCUGUCAACGCCCUCAUCGUCGUCGAGGAGCAUUGGCAGCGGCAGCAGCAUGAGUAGCGGCGGUGACAUCGAGGUGGCCAGCGCUGAUUCCCCUCGCCGCGGCCGUGCCGCAGCGUGGGUAAGCGUUCCGCCAAGCACGGCUGAAGACGUAGCCCGAGGCCCAGACAGCGGUGACGUUCCGGGAGAAGGAAAAGAAGAGGUGGGCGCACCAGAGCGCAGCCGAAGCGACGAUGCGGAGCACAGCGUCGAGGCACCGCCGCGGCAGCCGAUGGUGUCAAUCGAGGCAUGGCGGGGAGAACGCAGCGCGCAGCCGCCCUCCGACCUUGAGUGGGGUCCAGCAGCUGAGCACAGUGGGCCCGCAAGAGCGAACGCGUAUGCGCCCGAGAUCAGUAGGCCGUCUGCAAACGCGAAGGCAGGCAUCGGUGCAAGCAGCUAUGACCCUGGGCGCGGAGAAGCUGAUGAUGAUAAAGGGGCCCGCAGCGUCGAUUCCCACCAACCACCGGAACUUGCUGGCAGUAGACGUUUCACUGAGCAGGAAUCGCCCGCAGGGAAUGAAGAUGGCACUCUUCUCUCCCGUGUGUCGCCCGCCGCAGCGCCUGCCGGAUCGGCGUCAGGGAAACACGCGCCUGGCGCACAGUCGCCGUGUAGUGGGGCACACGGGUUGGCUUAUGUGUCCUCCGCGAAACUCGGGCGCCCUCGUCGGCCUUCCGCGGACACCGCGGCGACCGGCAUGGCGAGGGGGAAAGACACCGCGGACGGAGAGCCGGCGCCUCCACAACACGGUGAUCUCCUCCACCGCGACAGCACGACUCGCUUCCACCGCGUCAGCAGCGCGGAGCUGCCAAACGUGUUGGCAGGCGAAGUGCGAUGGCGCACCUCACCUGAACCGUCGCAGAACCCGUCUGGAAGCACACGCCGCCCGCUGUACGUUGUUCACAACCCCGCGUCAUCCGCGUGCGCGAUUACGGGAAGGCAGGCGCGCCGCGCGUGGACAAUCACGAAUCCCACGAACUCCCUCGGCUGCGGCCGUCUCAACCCAUACUGCUCCUCAUGCCGCGCCAAGUACAAUCUCAUGUUUGUUGACCCUCAGAUGCGACCAGUCCAGUGGCCGUCGGCUCAGUGUGCUGAGCUGGAUCAGAUGGGUGACUGCCGCAUCCACAGCGGGUACAUUUUCGGCGGUGGCGACACAGAGUCUAAGCGUGAUGCGAUGCUCGUCCAGCAGCGACUGCGAUCGAAGAGGAUGGCGGCGUGGCCGGAGUUGCCGCACUCCGGCAGAGAUCACCUCAUCGUUCACGAGGAGGAUCUCGAUGGCCCGCUGCGCCAGUUCGCGCCGCCGCCGCAGGGGCACUUUGUUCGCAUCGCGUACGCAGAGGACAUGCGACUUCCCGUUGGCCCGGCGCUUCGUCGUCGAGCGGCGCUGCUCGCAGCGUCGGCCCGCCGGAGCUUCGCCUUUUCGCCAUCAUCAGCGGCGUUCUCACAGCUGCCACGGCACCCCUUUCCAGGUGAUGCGUCCGGCGAUGCACUGCGGUUUAUCACCUCCCCUGCCGGGGAGAGAUUGAACGAUUGCCCACCCGCCUCGAGCGUGCCUUGGUACCCCAGCACCAUACGAAGCGGCACGUGCAGCUACGACAGCUACCUUCGAAACCCGACACGUGACCGCAGCUCUCCUCACAACCAGCGCAAGCGCUGCAGCUCUUGCAAUAUGAAGGACGCCGGCAGUGCAUCCAUCACCCAGCUUGACAAGUUUGCGGACGUGACGGUCGCCGAAAGCCGUCAGCCCCCGCCGCACAGUUAUCCAGCGUUGGAGACGGUGGGGGUCGCGAAGCGACUGGCCGUCACCGACGCCGGCGCUACCGCGAGCGUUUCUGCCGCUACAUCGGGGAUGGCGGCAGAGCCUGCCAGCGUUGCGGCUUUGCGCCAGGAGGAGCGCCGGAUCAAGAAGGCGCUAAAGCAGCUUCUCUGGCGUGACUUGCCACAGCAGCGGGGGACGAUAGAAUGGGAGAACUACCUGCGCUCGCUUAGUGAGGGGCUCCGACAGCAGCCCGGCCUUGCACUCUCGCUUGCGCCUCCGCUUCCUGCGCAGGUGGUGGAGACCGUGCAAGCUUCCCUUACAGACAGCGCAGCCAAAUCAUGACGAUGAUGCCCUACCCAUCACUGCUUGUGUGUGUGGGGGGGGGGAGGAGGAGGCCGACUCGGCCCUCUGACAGCCUUGUUGCUGUUCAGUCUGCUCCGCAGCUGAUCCUUGCGUGCGUCUCUCUUCGCGCGCACAUGUAUGCCUGUCUCUGUGACUGGCUGCUUCGCACUACCCGCAUUUUUUUUUUUGCUGUUGCCACUCCUGCACGCAUGCGCGCUCGCUGAAGUGUAGAUAUAGAUGUACUUGCGUCUGCACGUGUGGAGCGAGAGCACUGGGCUCGCCUUGCUUUCUUUCCUUCCAAUCCUUUAUGCGCCGCAUGGGGCCAUCUCCGAUGUGAGCGCGCCCAUUGCGUCGUCGACUCGUGUCUGCAUCCCCCUCCCCUCUUUCGGGUGUUUUUGUGGCGUAGUCGCACGCGUGUCUUUGACGGCAACACUGCAACCCUCCCCCUCACAUCGCGCAUCCCGCGUUGCUCUUCGCCACAGACGCGUGCCGCUGUUUUCCAUGUGCCUCCCUUAUUCGUUUGUGCACCUCAAAUCGUGUAGUGCCUGUAGUCGAUGCCGCUGCGGAGAAGGUGCGGAAGUGAUAUGCUUGGAUGGGGUGUGUAACAUAUCCAUAGAG
RNAcentral lists this unclassified non-coding RNA (10526 nucleotides) under Leishmania donovani. RNAcentral describes it as "gene:LdHU3.29.0770(CDS-product:hypothetical_prote in_conserved)". Lineage: Eukaryota; Euglenozoa; Kinetoplastea; Trypanosomatida; Trypanosomatidae. The record is from RNAcentral.